This 924-nucleotide ribosomal RNA is filed under the name Zymomonas mobilis subsp. mobilis. Its description in RNAcentral is "bacterial SSU rRNA". It matches the Rfam family "Bacterial small subunit ribosomal RNA", at positions 83 to 1037 of the family's 1533-position model. Lineage: Bacteria; Pseudomonadati; Pseudomonadota; Alphaproteobacteria; Sphingomonadales; Zymomonadaceae. The record is from RNAcentral.
GCUUCGGCCUUAGUGGCGCACGGGUGCGUAACGCGCUGGGAAUCUGCCUUCAGGUACGGAAUAACUAGGGGAAACUCGAGCUAAUACCGUAUGAUAUCGAGAGAUCAAAGAUUUAUCGCCUGAAGAUGAGCCCGCGUUGGAUUAGCUAGUUGGUAGGGUAAAGGCUUACCAAGGCGACGAUCCAUAGCUGGUCUGAGAGGAUGAUCAGCCACACUGGGACUGAGACACGGCCCAGACUCCUACGGGAGGCAGCAGUGGGGAAUAUUGGACAAUGGGGGAAACCCUGAUCCAGCAAUGCCGCGUGAGUGAAGAAGGCCUUAGGGUUGUAAAGCUCUUUUACCCGGGAUGAUAAUGACAGUACCGGGAGAAUAAGCUCCGGCUAACUCCGUGCCAGCAGCCGCGGUAAUACGGAGGGAGCUAGCGUUGUUCGGAAUUACUGGGCGUAAAGCGUACGUAGGCGGUUUAAUAAGUCAGGGGUGAAAGCCCAGAGCUCAACUCUGGAACUGCCUUUGAGACUGUUAGACUAGAACAUAGAAGAGGUAAGUGGAAUUCCGAGUGUAGAGGUGAAAUUCGUAGAUAUUCGGAAGAACACCAGUGGCGAAGGCGACUUACUGGUCUAUAGUUGACGCUGAGGUACGAAAGCGUGGGUAGCAAACAGGAUUAGAUACCCUGGUAGUCCACGCCGUAAACGAUGAUAACUAGCUGUCCGGGUACAUGGUAUCUGGGUGGCGGAGCUAACGCAUUAAGUUAUCCGCCUGGGGAGUACGGUCGCAAGAUUAAAACUCAAAGAAAUUGACGGGGGCCUGCACAAGCGGUGGAGCAUGUGGUUUAAUUCGAAGCAACGCGCAGAACCUUACCAGCGUUUGACAUCCUGAUCGCGGAAAGUGGAGACACAUUCUUUCAGUUCGGCUGGAUCAGAGACAG